AGGACGAACGCUGGCGGCGUGCUUAACACAUGCAAGUCAAACGGGGAUAUUCAGAUGAGAGCUUCGGCAGGAAUCAGGGAUAUUCGAGUGGCGGACGGGUGAGUAACGCGUGAACAAUCUGUCCCAGACAGGAGGAUAACACUUGGAAACAGGUGCUAAUACCGCAUGAGACCACAGUGUCGCAUGGCACAGGGGUAAAAGGAGCGAUCCGGUUUGGGGUGAGUUCGCGUCCGAUUAGCCAGUUGGCGGGUAACGGCCCACCAAAGCGACGAUCGGUAGCCGACCUGAGAGGGUGAUCGGCCACAUUGGAACUGAGAGACGGUCCAAACUCCUACGGGAGGCAGCAGUGGGGAAUAUUGGGCAAUGGGCGAAAAAGCCCGACCCAGCAACGCCGCGUGAGUGAAGAAGGCCUUCGGGUUGUAAAGCUCUGUUAUAGGGGACGAAGGAAGUGACAGUACCCUAUAAGGAAGCCCCGGCUAACUACGUGCCAGCCGCAGC
This 498-nucleotide ribosomal RNA is filed under the name uncultured bacterium. Its description in RNAcentral is "bacterial SSU rRNA". It matches the Rfam family "Bacterial small subunit ribosomal RNA", at positions 26 to 518 of the family's 1533-position model. The record is from RNAcentral.